RNAcentral lists this ribosomal RNA (454 nucleotides) under uncultured bacterium. Its description in RNAcentral is "bacterial SSU rRNA". It matches the Rfam family "Bacterial small subunit ribosomal RNA", at positions 340 to 786 of the family's 1533-position model. The record is from RNAcentral.
UACGGGAGGCAGCAGUGGGGAAUAUUGCACAAUGGGCGCAAGCCUGAUGCAGCCAUGCCGCGUGUAUGAAGAAGGCCUUCGGGUUGUAAAGUACUUUCAGUCGUGAGGAAGGUGUUAAGGUUAAUAACCUUAGCAAUUGACGUUAGCGACAGAAGAAGCACCGGCUAACUCCGUGCCAGCAGCCGCGGUAAUACGGAGGGUGCGAGCGUUAAUCGGAAUUACUGGGCGUUAAAGGGCACGCAGGCGGUUAAUUAAGUUGGAUGUGAAAUCCCCGGGCUUAACCUGGGAAUGGCAUUCAAGACUGGUUAGCUAGAGUCUUGUAGAGGGGGUAGAAUUCCAUGUGUAGCGGUGAAAUGCGUAGAGAUGUGGAGGAAUACCGGUGGCGAAGGCGGCCCCUGGGACAAAGACUGACGCUCAUGUGCGAAAGCGUGGGGAGCAAACAGGAUUAGAUACC